GCGGUGUUUGGGGGAGCGGGGUUCAGAAAUGUGCGAUUUUUGCCUGUAGGGUUUUUUUUUUUUUUUAAAACUUGUAUGUUUUACUGCUGGCUACAGCGCUGCUUCGGUGCGUUCCUGAUCUCUGUGCCCCGUGUUCUCUGCUCCCAUCCCUCCUUCCCUCCUCUGCUUUGUCCUGUCAGUUCUCUGCACCUCCAGGCAAAGUGAGGCGCUGUUUAUUCAUUUUUAACCCGCAGUGAUGAUUUACAGUUGAAGUGGGCGCGGUGUCUGAGCCCUGGAAGUGAUCUGUGUGGGGGGGGUUUAUGGGGUGGAAUGCGUUGAUGGGAAGGAACCCGUAGAGCAGGACCCAAAGGCUGCGGGAGCUGGGUGACCCACCGGCUUACAGAUCGUAUCCUGAGCCCCAGAGAGCGGCGUGGGGCCGGAGAUGGCAGCCUUAUUCCUUCCCAUUAAAGAAGGUGCUACGUGGAGCUGAGCAGCGCAGCACCCAGCGAUGCGGUCCUGGCACUGAGGAUAGGAAAGGAGCAGCACUCAUAGGAGGACAUUCAGCCUUUAUUGGCAGGCAGGAAUGGGACGCAGCUGUGUUGACAGGAUGCUGGUCCUCCAGUGGCAGCUGUCUGCAGAUGCACGGGCUGUGCCUGCUGCCAGCAGUGGAGGUGAUGCUCCUCGCGGAUGGCUGGGCAGCCCCACGUGAGUUAUGGGCUCAGAUUGGCACCCACUUUUCCAGCCCGUGUUUUGGAGUUGGGAUUUUCCACCUCUGCCAGCAGUGCAUCAUUGUCAGAGGUGCGGCUCUCACUGGGGAGUUGUGCCCAGCUCUGGUGCCUUCCCAGCGCUCUGACUGCCACCAGCCGCCUGCCCCUCUUUUUUUUAGGUCACUUUUGGGAUGUUUUGCAUCACGGCUUUCCUACGGCUUCCCAUGGCACUGCAUCCAACCCCAAACGCACCCACAAUGACAGAGCUGCUGUUUGCUCUCCCAGAAAACAAUCUUGGGGGG
Molecule: long non-coding RNA, 988 nt
Organism: Tympanuchus pallidicinctus (lesser prairie-chicken)
Lineage: Eukaryota; Metazoa; Chordata; Aves; Galliformes; Phasianidae
Exons: 2
Source: RefSeq, a predicted model, not a curated record